GAUGAACGCUGGCGGCGUGCCUAAUACAUGCGAGUCGAGCGAACAGACGAGGAGCUUGCUCCUCUGACGUUAGCGGCGGACGGGUGAGUAACACGUGGAUAACCUACCUAUAAGACUGGGAUAACUUCGGGAAACCGGAGCUAAUACCGGAUAAUAUAUUGAACCGCAUGGUUCAAUAGUGAAAGACGGUUUUGCUGUCACUUAUAGAUGGAUCCGCGCCGCAUUAGCUAGUUGGUAAGGUAACGGCUUACCAAGACAACGAUGCGUAGCCGACCUGAGAGGGUGAUCGGCCACACUGGAACUGAGACACGGUCCAGACUCCUACGGGAGGCAGCAGUAGGGAAUCUUCCGCAAUGGGCGAAAGCCUGACGGAGCAACGCCGCGUGAGUGAUGAAGGUCUUCGGAUCGUAAAACUCUGUUAUUAGGGAAGAACAAAUGUGUAAGUAACUAUGCACGUCUUGACGGUACCUAAUCAGAAAGCCACGGCUAACUACGUG
RNAcentral lists this ribosomal RNA (497 nucleotides) under uncultured bacterium. Its description in RNAcentral is "partial 16S ribosomal RNA". It matches the Rfam family "Bacterial small subunit ribosomal RNA", at positions 28 to 507 of the family's 1533-position model. The record is from RNAcentral.